CCCAGAAAUGGCAACACUGAACUCCUGACAAAACCUAGGAUUUCUUGGCUCUGGGCCUAGGCAGGCAGAGGAUGUGUCGGCAGCCAGGGAGAAGUAAAGUCUGAGGACAAAGGAAGCGAGAAGGGGAAGUUUAUAUCAAAGACGGACGUUGGGAUUACUCAUCGGUGUUGACUGCAAAGAGAGGAGCACAGAGUCACUCAUUAGCCUGGAAUUCACCGAGUUGGCUAGACUGCCAGGCCAACAUGUCCCAGAGCUGGGAUUACAAGCACACCCCAUCAAGCCCAUCACCUAAGUUGCAGGGAAUUGAACUCAUGCUCUGACACUUGCAAGCCAGCAUUUUACCAGCUGGUCAAUCUAUCCAGCAGCUUUUCUCCACCUCCUUCUCACAUUUCCUUUCCUUGCCCUGUUUCCAUAUUUGAUCAAGCCAUAUAAGAACUCCCGCACAGUAGAAAGAAUGUAGACUGUGCAGUCAGACAGACCUGGGUUCGGAACCUGGCUCUACCACUCUUAGCAACUGUGGGAAUGUGGAUAAGUCUUGAAAUUCUCAGUCUGAAACAGGAUGUAGACAAAUACCACCCUCUGAGUGUCAGUGUACAGCACAGCACCCAUUGUAUCUCAUAAGAUUGCCCUAUCAUUCCGUAUAAAGCAUGACAUGGGAUGUGGUUUUCACCUACUGCCUCUUUCUGUUGCUCAUUGAUAUCUAAGGAAUAAACACUAAACAUUUGGGACAUUUCAAAUCACUCAUGGGGCAAGGGGAAGCAUUGUACUCUGCACCUCCAUUGAGAAGAACUAGGCAGGCUGCUAUCUAGAAAGAGAACCAAAGAUGGAGAAUGGAUCCCACUGAGCUAGCAGACUGAGACAGGGAAUGGACGCUACCGGAAUCAACAGACUCACAAGCAGGAAACAGUUGAGCAUCGGGUCCUCGGAUGUGGAAGGAAAGAAGAGACUCUUGACGAUUAGGUGAAGGAGUAUAUUUUAAGAUGAUGGAAGAAUUAUUUUAUUGACUUUGAAAUGACCAGUACAUUCCAAAAAGGUUUACACAAGCUCACCAAUAAGGAAUUCACAAGGCACCGACUGACUGACCAUCUACAAAGUAAGUAAUUAAGAAACAAAGUGUGUAAUUCCCAGACAUCCCCUUCCCCACUUUUUAAGCCUCCCUCUGCCUGGCUAUCCAUUCAGAUUUUGUUUUAUUGCUUCUAACGCCUAUGAUUUUCCCUUGGGGCCUUACAGCUUAUUAAAGUCCUACCCUCAAAUCUCAAAAUACAGUUUUUCCAAAGAGUAGACAAAUUCUAAUGGACUCCCUUCUGAAUUCAAAAUACAAAGCUCUUCAAAGAGCAGGUAGCGCCUUCAGGGAGAGAAUGUUCCUUGCUCUGUUCCUACAGCCACCACUUCCUGUUCCAGAGACAGAAAAUAGAGAAGGAAUGGGGAGAAUAACAUGUCCUGUCCUGACUGUCAAGAUUCGACUGUCACCAGGCUCUCCCACACUACAGCAGCAGCAACAGAGCAACCCUGUCUCUACCAAGCUUAGGAGCCACUGCAUACCAACUGCUCUUGAUAUAUUUUCAAAUAUGAAGGCAAUCAAAAGUGGUGUCAUUGAGUAAGAGUAUAAUAACAUCAGGUUUGUCUUUCCUUUGGGACCUCUGAGCCAAUGGGGUUUUCUGAGUCAAUGAAUUGUUUUGCUUGGUUUUGUUUUUUCUGGUCUGCAAAGUAAGGCCAUAGGCCCUGAUGCCUUCUACCACACGAAGCCUUUCAUAUAGCAAACUUGAACCUUCUGGCAAUCCCCACAAUUUCUUUUCUCUAUAUAGUCAAAGUCUCCACUUCUCUCUGCAGCGGCUUUGAGAGACCCAAACACUGUCCAAAAAUGAUUCUGUGUGACCGAACUUUGUGGGGCAUUUGGGAGUUCUGCGACUCCUUUUGGACACUCACCAGCCUAGAGUGUGGGCGGCAAUACCCUCCUUCCAGCAGAGACCAGGAAGAUAAUACAUUAGACAUCAGCAUCUAGAGCAAUCUCAGACACAGUGCAGUACCCUCUCUGUGGAUGGAUGCAAGUAUAGGUAAAAACCUGAUCAGCGGCCUCAGGCCUAUAGGCCCAACGUGAGACAUGUCUUUGCUCUAUAUGGCUUCCCUGGAAGAGACAGUUGGUACCCAAGACUGUCUAAGCCCUUGCCUGAACCAUAUCCCCAUGCAAUUCCUCCACCUGACAAUGGGGUGCACUGGUACGCCACUUUACCCCGCCCCCAGGCUGAUCUGCAUGUCCUCCAAUGCUAGGGGUGAUUUACACAGCCUGCUAGAGGAUUUUCCAAGAAAACACUCCACAUAAUUGGCCUUUGGUCGAGCUCUCCGGCCGUGAUUUAUUUCUCUGGGACAAGCCAAGGAACGUCUCUCCCCACCUCUGCAAAGCCUCCGGUCCUGGCCUCAAAGUUCAGCAAGUUUCUGGCCAGAGAAUGUUCUUCCUCUCCUCCCACUCAGCCUUUUUUCCCUGUGCCUUGCAAUCUCAUUUGCUAAAUAUACUAAACUGACUGUA
This is a long non-coding RNA of Arvicola amphibius (Eurasian water vole), 2524 nucleotides long. RefSeq lists it as uncharacterized. The record is from RefSeq and is a predicted model, not a curated record. Lineage: Eukaryota; Metazoa; Chordata; Mammalia; Rodentia; Cricetidae. The transcript is spliced from 2 exons.